Molecule: long non-coding RNA, 6326 nt
Organism: Dreissena polymorpha
Lineage: Eukaryota; Metazoa; Mollusca; Bivalvia; Myida; Dreissenidae
Exons: 2
Source: RefSeq, a predicted model, not a curated record
UACAGGAAGGAAGAAAAAGACGCAGACAAACGAAAGGAUAAGAACAACACAUCUCAAAAUGGACAGGGUUGAGGCUUAGCGAAGCACUGAGAAUGUCCGAAAGACGAGAGGAAUGGAGAGAGCUGGUUGCCAGGUCACCUGUGGUGCCCCUGUCGUCCAGACUGCGGGUUUGGUGAAGGUGGUGAAGGUUAACAGUGUAUCGUGCUAUCUAUGGAAUAUAUGUAGUGUAAUCAAUAGAAUAAAACAAUUAUUAUUAUUAUUUUAGGCGCUCAACAUAAUAUAAUUUGAGUCACAUAUUAACUAAAUUUCAAUAAAACCGAGCUAGGUUUAUUGUUAAUAUGUGUGCAACGUUUACAUUCGUAUUUAAUAACUAUACAACACUGUUAAACACAUCCUUUCACAUAAUAUCCUAAUGUUUUUGGCCUGGGGCGAAGCCCCUAGGCCAUUGUACUCAUAACCGUUUUUUGAGAUGAGCUGACUUGGCUGGCUGCCAAAACAUCCACUAAUGAAUGAAUUUGGAAAAGUCCGAUUUACCACUUGGCGGUAAUUCAUGCGCAAUCAAAGAAGAGGGACCUAUACAAACAAAUAGGUCCCUGCAAAGAAGUUCUAAAUAACCCGCAUUGUGAAUACAGAACAUCACUAUACAACAUGACAGUGUCAUAAAACGUGUAAAAAAUAUUAUUGAAGCAAAAUUCCUAAGCAUUGGGUACGGCAUAGUUUUUAUUAUUGUUCGCAUAUUCAUGCGAGAAUAAGUUCCUCGCUUGACGGUCUAGGCCGAAAAUAUACGAGUGUCUACGGAGACAGUAAGAAGAUUUUUUCUGAUACAUUUUUAAGGUAUUAGCACUCUAAUGAACUUCGUGCAAUAUCUCCUUCUUUCGUACAUAUCCGUCAAUCCGAACGUUAUCCGGGAAUGUGCAGAAAACUACGAAUAUUCUAUAAAUACGCUAUGAAAUACUAAAUGUAGGAUCCGCUAAAUACAAUGACAACAAAUAUGGCCGACAUUGUAUCGACAGAUUGGUCGUUUAAAGAAAAAGCAAUUUACUAUAUUAAAAGAGAACGAUUAAUAAAAGUGUUAUUAUUGUUCAUAUUAAUGUGACUGGAGUUAAUGAUAAACGUCAACUAAUGCAUGGCAGUGUUGAUAUUUAUGGAAAAAAAACGAUUCCUGGAAAUACGAUGUCAAACGGUUGAAAAUUUUGACCACUGUGAAGAAUAACGUUUAGAACCCGUGUCACUUACAACAUUUUAUAUUGUUGGUGAGAAGUAAAAGGGGAUAAAGUGGAUUUAUGCUUGUGUGAUGACUGUAGCCAUGUGAACGGGUUAUCGUACGGCAAAACCCAUCACGUAAAGAAGAGUCUUCAACUUUUCAAGAAAGGAAUGCCUUUUUUAAUGUUUUGCUAUCAACACAAAGCUCGGAACAGGAAGUGAUACAUUGUAUGCUGAUUACCUGUGCAGGAGGAAAACGAAACCAGACAGAUUAUGGACUCAAAUUCAACCUGUAAAAAAAGCUAGGAACUUGCAGUCACUGAGUGUUCUUGUUUACAGUCAUGUGUUCAAUGCUGCCACAACAUAAAUAUUAUAGCUGGCUCUGGACUCGACCUUAUGCAUCUUAAAAUGAUCUUUGAAUACGAUGGUCUCAAGAACAUUUUUAUAAUGAAUAACUUUGACGGUCAGCCCAGGGUCACCAAUUCCAAGCGUCUUUUGGAGACACUUAUUCCAACCUGUCGAAGUUCUUCAAAGAACUACCAUGACAGUCGUGUAUUUGUUUUGUUUGUCAUAAUAAGUUUAAUGUUAUAUAUCACUAGUAUCACUAGUCAUUGAUACAUUGAUAAAUCUAUUUUUCUUAAAACGCGUUUGAUUGAAUGAUUAUAUGUGCCUUGUUACUUAAUUAUUAAUGUUCUUAUUUCCCUGUAACAUUUUCAAGUCUUAUUUAUAUAAGAACACAUUUCACGUGCUAUUUCAAACAAGGUUAGCAAAUCUUACUGCACUGAGUAGGUUCCAUCUCACACAUGAUAUAUGAGAUGUAUGUAUGUUUAUAUGUUUAUGGGUUUAUUAUAGGCUUUUCCUCUUUUUUUAUCUUUUUAUAAUAAUUUUUGAACAUUAAGCUCAUCUGAAUGCUCACAUAUAAAAAUCUCAAAUUCAGUAUGACGUUUCUGGAAAAGGGGGGUAACCUUGAUUGUAAAGCGGGAACUUUUCGUUUUCACUGGUGACCCCCAUUUUUAGCUUAUUAUUAUAAAGCAAUGUCUUUACCAUCAACUACUAGUUUCUGUAUAGUUUUUUGUUCGUUUGUAAGUUUUUCAUUGUUUGCAAAGUAUUUUGUAUUGUUUUCAUUGUGUUCAACAUGCUGUGCCUGUGCACGAAGUAUUAUGCCAUCAAAUUGUAGUUUUCAACUAUGUUAUUCAAAAUGUUCCUAUUUUUGGAGUGAGUAUAAAGAUUUCCAUUAUUUUUAUCUCUAAUUAUGCGUUAAGAACAAUAUUGAAAUCACUUCCAACUAAAAUGUUUUUAUCUUAGUUAUUUAUUUUAUUGGAAUGUAAUGUUUCAUAAAAUUUGGAUUUAUCUAUAUUCAGGCCGUAAACGUUUAUUAAUGUUAAUUGUGUUUCGUGUAUUAUUAUAAUAAUAUUUGUAUGUUGUCCGCUAAGAUAAAUAUCUCCGUCCCAUGCACUUUUCAAUGUUUGUGAGAAGGUACGUGUGAUGUGAUUUUCCUGUAAAAGACUUUUUUUCGCCUAACCAUUUUAAAAUUUAAGUGUGUUUGUCUUUGUUAUUUAGCCCUUUUACAUUUAGAGUAUAUAUGUUAAUAUUCAUACAAAAGGAGGAGAAAUACAUGCCACUUUCCUUUUAUCUAACAUUUUAAAAUCAUUUUGUAGAGCUAGAUUAUUUGUUAAUACUAAAUUAUGCAAAAUUAUAUUACGCUUUGACGUUAAAAACAAUAACCUUCCAUGUCCUACAGGUUGUUGAUACAUUCUGUUCAUUAAAUUGAUCUACGUACUUGUUCAUUUAUUACAAUGGUAUUGGUAACUAUGCCCUGCCUUCAUUUAAAUUGAUCUCGAUACCAUUUUUUAAACAUUUCAUUAUCAUUAACACUUUGCUUUCCGCGUGGUAAGACCACCAUUGUUAAAUGAAUGAAUAAUUUAGUGAAUUAGUUAAAUGUGUUUGAAUAUCGUUCCAAAAUAUUUUAUAACACUUGUUAGUGAUGCUAUGAGAUCCCGAACUUUUGUUAUUUUGCAUUUCUUUAAGAGCUAGUCCACAUUCAUAUUCAGUUAGUAAUCCGUCACAUACUUCUUUUUCCUCUUCAUUUAAAGCAUGAUGUGUUUUUUACAGAGGGUGUUAUUUUCGACAUUCUUUCGUUUAUAGUGUUUCAAAAAAUAGGCUUGUUCUAUUAUUUCCACAAUAUUCAUAUUCAGUUUGUAAUCCUUCACAUACUUGUGAUUCCUCUUCCUUUAAAGCAUGAUGUGUUAUUUUACAGAGGUUGUUAUUUUCGACAUUAUUUCGUUUAUAGUGUUUCGAAAAAUAGGCUUCUUCUAUUAUUUGACUUUUAUUUGUUAUGUCUUUGCCAUUAACUACUAGGUCUGUGUAUAGUUUUGUGUUUGCUUCUACGUUUUUAAAUGUUUGCACAGUAUUUUGUAUUGUUUUCAUUGUGUUCAACAUGAUGUGCCCGUGCUCGAAGUAUUAUGCCAUUGAGGUGUAUGUGAUAAAUUCCUUCUAUUAUAAUUUUUUUUGUAAGAAUUUCCUUCUUCAAUGGAGAUGGUAUAAUUUGUGUUUCUUUUAUGCAUCUGUUUUUCAAGUGCUUCAAUGGCUUUUAUGGCUUCAUUUUCAAGUUUGUGUGUUUCUUUUUGUUUUAGCUUACCUGAGCACAACGUGAGCUUUUGUGAUCGCCUUUUGUGCGUCGUCUGUCAUGCAGCGUCAGCAUUUACCUUGUUAACACUUUAGAGGUCACAUUUAUUGUCCAAUUUUCAUGAAACUUGGUCAGAACAUGUGUCCCAUUAAUAUCUUGGACGAGUUCGAAAAUGCUUCUUGUUGUUGAAAAACCUGGGUGCCAGAGGGGCGUGGCAGUUUUCCUAAUAUGGCUAUUGUAAAACCUUGUUAAGACUAUAGAAGUUACAUUUUUUGUCCAAUCAUCAUGAAACUUGGUCGGAACAUGUGUCCCAAUAAAAUCUUUGACAAGAUCAAAAAUGGUUCUGGUUGGAAGAAAAACAUGGCCGUCAGGGGGCAGGGCAGUUUUCCUAUUUUGGCUAUAGUAAAACUUGUUUACACUGUAAAAGUCAAAUUUAUUGUCCAAUCUUCAUGAAACUUAGUCAGAACAUUUGUUCUAAUGAUAUCUUGGACGAGUUCGAAUAUAGUUCCGGUUGGUUGAAAAACAUGGCUGCCAGGUGGCAUGGCAGUUUUUCCUUAAAUGGCUACAGUAAAACCUUGUUAACACUCUCGAAGUCACAUAUUUUGUCCGUCAGAACAUGUUUCCCAAUAAAAUCUUAAACGAGUUCGAAAAUGGUUCCAGUUGAAUGAAAAAAAUGGCCGCCAGUGGUCGUGGCAGAUUUCCUUAUAUAGCUUUAGUGUAUAGUAAAACCUUUUUAACAUUCUAGAAGUCACAUUUAUUGUCCAAUCUUCAUGAAACUUAGUCAGAACAUUUCUUCAGACCAUAUCUCGGAUGAGUUUGAAAAUGGUUCUGGUCUGUUGAAAAACAUGGCUGCCAGGGGGCGGGCCAGUUUUCCUUACAUGGCUUUAGUAAAACCUUGUUAUAACGCUAGAAGUCACAUUUGUGGUCCAAUGCCUAUGAAACUUGGUCAGAAUAUUUGUACUAAUGAUAUCUGGGCUCAGAUCGAAAAUGGUUGAGGUCCGUUUAAAUACAUGGCCGCAAGGGGGCGUGGCAUUUUUCCUUAUAUGGCUAUUUUGUAAUGUUAACACUAGAAGUCACACUAAUUAUCCAAUCUUUAUGAAGCUUGAUCAGAACAUUUGUUCUAACAAUAGCUCAGCUGAGUUUGAAAAUGGUCAUGAUUCGUUGAAAAAUAUUGCCGCCGGGGGGGGGGGGCAGUUGUCCUUAUAUGGCUUUAGUGAAAACUUGUUGACGCUAUAUUAGCAUCAUUUAUUGGCCAAUCUACAUGAAACUUGGUCAAAACAUUAUUUUGUCCCACUGAAAUCUUAGCGAAGAUUGAAACUGGGUCAUAUGAGCUUAAAAACUAGGUCACUAGGUCAAAUAUAAAAAAAACAUGUUGAAAGUCACUUUUUUGGUCUAAUCUUCAUGAAUCAGCUUGCAUUUGUCCAGAAUAGUCUAGUUCUUUUUGCUCUUAGGUGAGCGCCUUAGGGCCUAACGGCCCUCUUGUUUUAAAUGACGUGCAUCUUAUUGUUGUGUUAAGUAUCUUGCCUUUAAGAUACCUGUUAUAUUUGUGUUUGAUAUUGUGUAUCUUUUCAGAAGCUAUUAUUUACUUUUAAAGUACCUUGGGCCUCUUUCAGGUUGUAUUUCAUGCAGUUAAAGUUCAACUAUCAAGUGAAGUCAUAAAUCCUGGUUUUAUGUUGCAUGUGUCGAUAAUGUUGCAAAUAGACUCGCAUAUUAAAAACAAUCUUAUCUCCAAAUAUUGCUGGUUUUGUGUUUGAGUGCCAGGUGAAUUUUCUUUCAUUAUGAUUAACUGUAUGCCAUAUGUCUAUCAAAUUGUAGUUUUCAAUUAUGUUAUUUAAAAUGUUCCUUUUUUGGAGUGAGUAUAAAUAUUUCCAUUUCUUUUAUCUCUAAUAAUGGGUUAAGAACAUUAUUGAAAUCCUCUCCGACUAUAAUGUUCUUAUCUUGGUUAUUUAUUAUAAUAUUUGGAUUCAUCUAUGUUCGGACCGUAAAUGUUCAUUAAUGUUAAUUGUGUUUCGUGUAUUUUUAUAUCUAUACUUGCUUGUCUGCCAAUCAUUAUUUUCGUUCAAGUAAUCCACUGUUAUUCCUGUAUGACUUUUACUCAGACAAGCGAUGCCUUGUUUAUUUGUAUGUUGUCCGCUAAGAUAAAUAUCUACGUCCCAACCACUUUUCAAUGUUUUUGCUAAGGUAUGUUUUAGGUGACUUUUCUGGAUGAAAAAGAUAUAUAUUACUUUUUUUUGUCUAACCAUUUGAAACUUUUAGUGCAUUUUUCUUUGUUAUUUAGCCCUUGUACAUUUACAGUACAUAUGUUAAUACUCACACAAAAGGACGAGAAUUGCAUGAUACCAUUCUUGUUCCAAACAUUUUAAAAUCAUUUUGUAGAGCUAGAUUAUUAGUUAGUAGUUCAUUAUGUCAAGUUAUAUUAAGCUUUGAUGUUAAAAACAAUUACCUUCAAUGUUCUACAGGUUGUUGAUACAUUGUGUUCAUUAAAUUGAUCUCAGCA